GAAGCGGCAACAGCUCAAAUUUGAAAUCUGGCGCAAGCCCGAGUUGUAAUUUGUAGAGGAUGCUUCUGGGCAGCGGCCGUUCUAAGUUCCUUGGAACAGGACGUCAUAGAGGGUGAGAAUCCCGUAUGUGACCGGCACGUACCCUCCACGUAGCUCCUUCGACGAGUCGAGUUGUUUGGGAAUGCAGCUCUAAAUGGGAGGUAAAUUCCUUCUAAAGCUAAAUACCGGCCAGAGACCGAUAGCGCACAAGUAGAGUGAUCGAAAGAUGAAAAGCACUUUGGAAAGAGAGUUAAAAAGCACGUGAAAUUGUUGAAAGGGAAGCGCUUACAACCAGACUUCGUGGCGGUGUUCCGCCGGUCUUCUGACCGGUCCACUCGCCGCCGCGAGGCCAGCAUCGUCUGGGGCCGCCGGAUAAGACCUUGGGAAUGUAGCUUGCCUCGGUAAGUGUUAUAGCCCAGGGUGAUGCGGCGUGCCUCGGGCGAGGUCCGCGCUUCGGCAAGGAUGCUGGCGUAAUGGUUGUCAGCGGCCCGUCUUGAAACACGGACCAAGGAGUCUAACAUCUAUGCGAGUGUUCGGGUGUCAAACCCCUACGCGUAAUGAAAGUGAACGGAGGUGGGAAGCGCAAGCUGCACCAUCGACCGAUCCUGAUGUCCUCGGAUGGAUUUGAGUAAGAGCAUAGCUGUUGGGACCCGAAAGAUGGUGAACUAUGCCUGAAUAGGGUGAAGCCAGAGGAAACUCUGGUGGA
Molecule: ribosomal RNA, 745 nt
Filed under: Phaeophleospora eugeniae
Lineage: Eukaryota; Fungi; Ascomycota; Dothideomycetes; Mycosphaerellales; Mycosphaerellaceae
Description: eukaryotic LSU rRNA
Rfam family: Eukaryotic large subunit ribosomal RNA
Source: RNAcentral